GUAAAGACAAGAACUGAAUCCUGGAGUUCUCCAAUGAACUUGAAGGCAGUUCCACCAAAGAGUUUCCUCCCCAAGAAAAUAAUUAUUUUAAAAACUUGAGAAAGACCUUGUGACUCUUAUAGCUUUCUGAGCUUCCUGAACCUCUUUAGUUUCAGGGACUGAGUCUUUCAAGUUUGCUCAGCUUCCUGAGUUUGAGCCCUCCUUCUUCACAAGGGAAUGUUUCAACUCAAAGGAAAUGGCUGCAGUGAAGAGGAACCACAGGAACAUUUCUAGAAGAGAUCCAAGAAGUCAAAAUGGAGCCUGAACCAGACAAAGUCUCUGAUUAAAAGGUACCCCCCAGAGGAGGAGCAGAAAAGAAUCUUUUUAAGAAAAUAAAAAUAGAAAA
RNAcentral lists this long non-coding RNA (385 nucleotides) under Rattus norvegicus (Norway rat). RNAcentral's name for it is "long non-coding RNA NONRATT032505". Lineage: Eukaryota; Metazoa; Chordata; Mammalia; Rodentia; Muridae. The record is from RNAcentral.